UGGUACAAGGAGAAUGAAGACUCACCAAAAGCAUCAGGACAGAACUUCACCAUCACUGACUUCAGAGCUGAACACAGUGGGAAAUAUUACUGUGAAGCCCAGAACAGAAGAGGACGUCAUAACUCCAUCUUACAUCUGACUGUUGUUGCAGGUUCAUUGAAAUUUCCAGUUGCUCUAUCAGUCAGUGCUGUUGUUCUGGUCUUCAUUCUUCUUCUCUCUGUCGUCCUGUGGAUUAGAAGAGAGAGGUCUUUGCAACAACAACCUGAGGCUGGUGAGAGACCACACAACAGAGCAGAGGAGACAGAUGAACUUCAGUAUGCAAGCGUACAGUGCGUUAGGAACGAGUCAGAGGCUCUCUACUCCAACUUCAGCCCAGCUCAGCCCCUCAGAAACGAGGAGGAGGUUGUUUACGCAAACCCGAAUUUCAACAGUGCUGCAGGAACAAGGCGUCAAGCAGCUGUGGAGGAUGUAUCUGCCCUGUACAGCAGAGUUAAUAGAAGCCACUGAGUGUGAUGACAACAUGGAUCUGUGGUCUGUAUUUAUGCAUGGACUUUCGAUGGGCCCAUUACAUUUUUCCUCAAGACAGAAUUGGUUAAGAGUGCAGAAUUAAGGCAACAAUAUUUCAUUUACAUCUUAUAUUAAUGAAGGACAGGUAGAUUAAAUAUUAGAUACCUCCCUAACGGUUACAUUAAAACCUUCAUGAAAGUAGGAUUUAUCACAGGACAGUUGUGUUGAACGGCGUUAGUUUUAGAUCAGUGUACUUAAUAAUACACUUCCAUCUUUUCAGGACAAUGUUUUUUUUCUUUGUCUUUGUUUUUUUUACUGUUUUGAUUAUUAUAUGAUCACAACUGUUACAAUGUAAGUCAUUCACACCUAUUGCCAAUAUUUUUAUGCUCAUUUUCUGAAUUUGUAUUUUAUUGUCAUUUCAAACUGAGUAUUUACAUUUCUUUACAUGUUUUGUAUUGUUUUGUCUUGCAAGGAAAAUAGUGAGUAAGACUCUUGUGUUUGGCCUGAUGAGUGACAGCUUGGAAACACUUUUUAAAAAAUGUAAAUGGUUAUAAACUUUAUUUUUAGCUGCAUUUAAGUCUUUGACAUUGAGUUUGUAUUCCAAUCUGAUUAACCAGAACAUUUAUUACAUCUUUUUGAAGUUGUAAAAUCUGAAAUGAAAAGCGCUCCAUCGUUUCGGGGCAUGCAUUAACUUUGAAAACAACAGUUUUUUGCAGUAAAAUAGAAACCAAUCUGUACACAUGAUGUUGCUAACAGAGCUCAUAGCAGGGCAGUAUGUCAUUUAUCCAGUUUGUCUCUUACUAGUCUGAAGUGUGGUGAGAGUGAGAGUUUG
Molecule: long non-coding RNA, 1339 nt
Organism: Micropterus salmoides (largemouth bass)
Lineage: Eukaryota; Metazoa; Chordata; Actinopteri; Centrarchiformes; Centrarchidae
Exons: 5
Source: RefSeq, a predicted model, not a curated record